RNAcentral lists this long non-coding RNA (267 nucleotides) under Populus tremula. RNAcentral's name for it is "long non-coding RNA (PTRE_LNC002473)". Lineage: Eukaryota; Viridiplantae; Streptophyta; Magnoliopsida; Malpighiales; Salicaceae. The record is from RNAcentral.
AUAGAAUCAUGAACCAAGCCCGAGUUUCAUUACUAUGUAAAGUGUUUGUUUGGUUCGAAAGCUAGUGGGAGGAUAAUUUAUUUAUUUUUGAUGAUCCUGGAUGUUCGGGCCAACUUACGCGCACCACAACUAAUCUCAAGGCUUACUGAACAUCCUGCAAGCCCAGUAUGCAGGUAAGGCACCGCAGGGGUAACAGACUGAUACUCUUGAGGAUCGAACCCAGAACCUUCACAAAAGCAAGCCUUGCAGUUGACCAAUGGGCUAGAC